This 186-nucleotide ribosomal RNA is filed under the name uncultured Phocaeicola sp. Its description in RNAcentral is "partial 16S ribosomal RNA". It matches the Rfam family "Bacterial small subunit ribosomal RNA", at positions 340 to 524 of the family's 1533-position model. The record is from RNAcentral. Lineage: Bacteria; Pseudomonadati; Bacteroidota; Bacteroidia; Bacteroidales; Bacteroidaceae.
UACGGGAGGCAGCAGUGAGGAAUAUUGGUCAAUGGGCGCAAGCCUGAACCAGCCAUGUAGCGUGAAGGAUGACGGUUUUUUGAUUGUAAACUUCUUUUCUGUGCGAUUAAAGUGUGGCAUUUAUGCCAUAUUGCAGUUAUCUCAGGAAUAAGCAUCGGCUAACUCCGUGCCAGCAGCCGCGGUAAU